GGAAUUUUGGACAAUGGGCGCAAGCCUGAUCCAGCAAUGCCGCGUGAGUGAAGAAGGCCUUCGGGUUGUAAAGCUCUUUUGUCAGGGAAGAAACGGUGGACUCUAAUACAGAUCACUAAUGACGGUACCUGAAGAAUAAGCACCGGCUAACUACGUGCCAGCAGCCGCGGUAAUACGUAGGGUGCAAGCGUUAAUCGGAAUUACUGGGCGUAAAGCGUGCGCAGGCGGUUUGGUAAGACAGAUGUGAAAUCCCUGGGCUCAACCUAGGAAUUGCAUUUGUGACUGCCCGGCUAGAGUGUGUCAGAGGGGGGUAGAAUUCCACGUGUAGCAGUGAAAUGCGUAGAGAUGUGGAGGAAUACCGAUGGCGAAGGCAGCCCCCUGGGAUAACACUGACGCUCAUGCACGAAAGCGUGGGGAGCAAACAGGAUUAGAUACCCGGG
RNAcentral lists this ribosomal RNA (440 nucleotides) under uncultured Herminiimonas sp. RNAcentral's name for it is "bacterial SSU rRNA". It matches the Rfam family "Bacterial small subunit ribosomal RNA", at positions 358 to 790 of the family's 1533-position model. Lineage: Bacteria; Pseudomonadati; Pseudomonadota; Betaproteobacteria; Burkholderiales; Oxalobacteraceae. The record is from RNAcentral.